UACGUAGGGUGCAAGCGUUGUCCGGAAUUAUUGGGCGUAAAGAGCUCGUAGGCGGUUUGUCACGUCUGCUGUGAAAUCCCGAGGCUCAACCUCGGGCCUGCAGUGGGUACGGGCAGACUGGAGUGCGGUAGGGGAGAAUGGAAUUCCUGGUGUAGCGGUGAAAUGCGCAGAUAUCAGGAGGAACACCGGUGGCGAAGGCGGGUCUCUGGGCAGUAACUGACGCUGAGGAGCGAAAGCGUGGGGAGCGAACAGG
This 253-nucleotide ribosomal RNA is filed under the name uncultured bacterium. RNAcentral's name for it is "partial 16S ribosomal RNA". It matches the Rfam family "Bacterial small subunit ribosomal RNA", at positions 524 to 776 of the family's 1533-position model. The record is from RNAcentral.